Molecule: ribosomal RNA, 497 nt
Filed under: uncultured bacterium
Lineage: Bacteria
Description: partial 16S ribosomal RNA
Rfam family: Bacterial small subunit ribosomal RNA
Source: RNAcentral
GAUGAACGCUGGCGGCGUGCCUAAUACAUGCAAGUCGAGCGAACGGACGAGAAGCUUGCUUCUCUGAUGUUAGCGGCGGACGGGUGAGUAACACGUGGAUAACCUACCUAUAAGACUGGGAUAACUUCGGGAAACCGGAGCUAAUACCGGAUAAUAUUUUGAACCGCAUGGUUCAAAAGUGAAAGACGGUCUUGCUGUCACUUAUAGAUGGAUCCGCGCUGCAUUAGCUAGUUGGUAAGGUAACGGCUUACCAAGGCAACGAUGCAUAGCCGACCUGAGAGGGUGAUAGGCCACACUGGAACUGAGACACGGUCCAGACGCCUACGGGAGGCAGCAGUAGGGAAUCUUCCGCAAUGGGCGAAAGCCUGACGGAGCAACGCCGCGUGAGUGAUGAAGGUCUUCGGAUCGUAAAACUCUGUUAUUAGGGAAGAACAUAUGUGUAAGUAACUGUGCACAUCUUGACGGUACCUAAUCAGAAAGCCACGGCUAACUACGUG